Molecule: long non-coding RNA, 2984 nt
Organism: Dreissena polymorpha
Lineage: Eukaryota; Metazoa; Mollusca; Bivalvia; Myida; Dreissenidae
Exons: 3
Source: RefSeq, a predicted model, not a curated record
CACAUUUAAACCAACAUAAAACUGUGUUUUUUCUGAGUUUUUCUUAGCGGAAGUUGGUUUUUGCUAAUAAAAGUGAGUUUUAUGUGUGCUAAACUGUGCUUAACUGAGUUUAAAGUUGGUUAUUUUAAGAAGAUGUGUGUUUAAGCGAGUUUUUUUCUGUAAGAAGUCGGUUUUUUGUGUGUCAAAAGUGAGCAUUUUUAUUUAUGAGUUGGUUUAUGUGUGUUUAAGUGUGUCUUUUUGUUUUAUAAGCGAGUCUUUUACAACAGAAGUUGGUCUUUUUUUUAACAGAAGUGGGUUUAAGCGAGUUUAACUUGGUCUUUUUGUAAAUAAGUUGAGAGCUGCAACGAGGCUUAAAGACUCACUUUAACACACUUUUCAACAAGUUGGUCUUUUGUUUAUUAAUAUAACUCAUCAAUGAAACAAUAAUUCUUCAACUGGGUCUUUGUUUGAUGUUUAUAGCCAUAAAUAAAACAAGUCAAUUGUAAAGGGGCUUUUUUUACAGCUUGUUUGCCAUUGUCCCUAUUGUACAUUUGUGUGCUCCCCAUAAUUUUUAGGGAAUAUUGGAUGAAAAUGGCUCUUUCAGAACAUCACAGGUUCACAGAUGGACAACAAGUAUCACUGACAAAAACUAUAACAAUGGUCAAGCUUAGUUUUAUACAUGAAAAUGAAAGAGUUUGUGUUUCACUUUGAAUUUUUAUCUUUAUGUUUGUUUUUAUUAUAAACAAUAUCUUAUGAUUGUUUUAUGUCUUAAUUUUUUAUUUUUUUUAAACAAUCUCAUAUGAUUGUUUAUAUUUGUUUAAAACAGUAUUUACUUGUUAAAUCUGCAUAUUUAAAUAAUUAUGGUAUUGGAAACAUUAUUUUGGAAAUAAUCUAUUUAUUUUUGUACAUAAGUUAUGCAAGAUUUUGAUAUUUGCAUAUGAUACCAUCAUAUCCAUUUUCUUAAUUUGCAAUAAAAUAAUAAAAUGCCAAACAUGACCUGUGUUACAUAAACUGUCAACAAAAUAACAAGACAAUACCUAAAAACACCCUUAUUUCACACCACUAACAAUAAACAGAUAACAAUCUGUCAGGCACUCAGAGCUAAACAGGGUACAGAUUAUCUAGGGGCAGAUAAGGCUACUGAUGGGGUUUGCCUAGAGAUAAGGCUGUGUGGAAUAAGAUAUAAGGCUUUUGAUUGGCUAUUGCACCGAGGAAGUUAUCUUUUUGAAAACAACAACUUUUGAAAAACAAGCUGGUGUCAGCAAUUGAAUAUUGAGCUAAAUUUAAUUCAGCAACAUUAAUAUAAAGAAGUGAAAGACUUAUAAUGGUAGUGUAAAAUGUCUUGAAAUUCUGUCAGCAUGAAGUAUUGUGUGAUGAAAACAAUGUGUUUUUUACUGCAAUGUGGAAAUCAAUAAUAAGUUGGUUGGAAAGGAGGUUGAACUGCCUGUUGUUGUUUUUGGAAUACUGAAGAACAGUUUUAACAGGUUAAACUCUUGCCACAAGGCAAAAUAGACAUUGAUGGGAAGAUCCUUUGGAAAGAAUGUGCAUCAUCGCCUGCCUGAUGUAUGGACUUUUAAACCUGGUUUUUAUCCUGCACAAGCUGGCAAACUUGAGGGGAUCAAGAGUGGGAAAACCUCGCCCUGUCCUUGACCAAGAAAGCUCGAUUUGUUGAGAGAUCAACUGGCAUAAGAGAUGCUCAAGAGGAGAAGGACACAAGCAGCAUCAAUGGUACAUGUCACUCCAGCGCCUGCUUUCCAGGUCUCUACCAGCUGCUUUCCAGGUCCCUCCACCAACCAAGAUCAGGUCUAGGUCCCUGCACUGGCUGCUUUCCAGGUCCCCUAGCGGUCAAGGUCUCUCCAGUAGCUGCUGUGCAGGUCCCAACACCGUAUGCCGUAGGUCCCUCCAUAAGCUGAAAUCCAGGUUCCUCAUUCCACUGCGGUUCAGGUACCUCCAACAGCUGAGAUCCAGGUCUCUGCAGCAGCUGCGGUCUAAAUACUCCACCCGCAGUGGUCCAUUGCGGUCAACCUUUUGCUUUAAAAUCUUCCAUAAAUGUCUAUUAUUGUAUAAUGUAUUGUAAAAAUAAUCUGUUUGUAUUAAUUUGCGGUGUACUAUUUUUGUCAUAUAAACAUAAUUUUUGUACACAUUGUGUUUUUUCCCUUUUAACCACAUGGGGCUUAUAAUGAACUGUUGUAAUUGCUUCACAAAAACCAUUUUUUCUAGAACAUAUCAGUCCAAAAUUAUUUUUUUUCACACUGCAAAAUCCCACAAAAGGCUCACAAAAAACCUACUUUCUAAAAAAAAAUCACUAAAACACUGUUAAAACCCACAAAAAUCAACUUACCCAAACGCACAAAUUGCUUUUGUUUUUUUCACAGAUAAAAUACUGUUAAUAACUAGGUUUAAAGCGAGUUAAAAGCAUGUUUUCACUGUGAAAAAAACUAACAAAGGCGUGCUUUCAGCUCACUUUUCGCUCACUUAAAAACCGUGUUUAGCCUGCUUAUAGCUCACAUAAAAAACACACUUUUUACCCACUUAAAACCAACUCCACAGACAGAAGUUGGUCUAAGCAUGUUUAAAAAACCUCAAAAAACCAACUUGUAGAAAAUCAUACUCACUUUAAACCCACUUAAGAUGGUUAAAAAACCCACUUUGUUGGUUUAAAGCGAGUUAAACCAAGAUUUAACUCAGAAAAAAACCAAGUCGGUAAGCUAAAAAACCCAGUCGGUAAGCUAAAAGCAUGUCUGAAAAACCCGCUUUUAGCACAGUGCAAAUACCGCAGAGUUAAACACAGAUGCCUGAAAAAAACUCACUUUAAACCCACUUAAGACGGUUAAAAAACCACUAUGUUGGCUUUAAGCGAGUUAAACCAAGAUUCAACUCAGAUAAAACCAAGUUGGUAAGCAAAAAGUGUGUUUAAAAGACUCGCUUUUAGCUCGGUGCCAAUACCGCAGGGUUAAACCCAGUUUAAAACUGGGUUAUAACCGGAUUUUGCUCACUUUUUUGAC